AACGGAUAAGGGCGCAUGGGGGAUGUCUUGGCAUCAGUAGACUUUGAAGGGCGUGGAAAACUGCGAAAAGCCUCGGUUAGCUGUUAAACGAGCGUUGACCCGGGGAUACCCGAACCGGCGUGACGUGAAUUCAUAGCGUUACGCGGACAACCUUGGGAACUGAAACAUCUAAGUACCAAGAGGAAGAGAAAGAAAAAUCGAUUCCGUGAGUAGCGGCGAGCGAAACCGGAAGAGCCCAAACCGGAACUUGUUCCGGGGUUAUAGGGUCAGAAGCAUAGGAGUGACAAAGGAGAAAUAUAGUGGAAACCGUCUGGAACGGCGGUGUCACAGAGGGUGAGAGCCCCGUACGCGAAAUAUUUCUUCCUCCUUUCUGAUACCUGAGUAGGUCGAGUCACGUGAAACCUUGACUGAAUUUGCGGGGUCCAUCCCGUAAGGCUAAAUACUCACUGAUGACCGAUAGCGCAUAGUAGAGCGAUUGAAAGAUGAAAAGAACCCCGUUUAGGGGAGGGAAAGAACCUGAAACCAUGUGCCUACAAGCGGUCGGAGCUCGAUUGAACGAGUGACGGCGUGCCUUUCGCAUAAUGAUCCGGCGAGUUACUGUAUGCAGCUUGAUUAAGAGCUUCCGGCUCGUAGUCGUAGGGAAACCGAGUCUUAACUGGGCGUAUGUUGCAUGUAGUAGACGCGAACCCCGUGUGAACUACCCAUGAGCAGGUUGAAGCCCGGGUUAUACCGGGUGGAGGACCGAACCCACUUGGGUUGAAAACCGAGGGGAUGACUUGUGGGGAGGAGUGAAAGUCUAAUCAAACCGGGAGAUAGCUCGUUCUCUCCGAAAUAGCUUUAGGGCUAGCCUUGAGCCACUAUGUUGCGGGGGUAGAGAGACUGAAUUGGCUGGAGGCCCUUCCCGGGGUACUCCACCGAACCAAACUCCGAAUACCGUAAUAAUUAUCUCAGGAGUCAGUCCGCGAGGGAUAAGCUUCGCGGACGAGAGGGAAACAACCCAGAUCACCGGCUAAGGUCCCGAAUAUCGUCUUAGUCACUAAGGAAGUCCUGUUGCACCAGACAGCCAGGAUGUUGGCUUAGAAGCAGCCAUCAUUUAAAAAGUGCGUAACAGCUUACUGGUCGAGCAAUAGGGCGCCGAUAAUGAACGGGAGUAAGUCGAUAACCGAAGCCGUGGAAUCGCAAGAUUGGUAGGAGAGCGUUGUAAGCCAGAUACGAGGUGUACCGUAAGGAGCAUUGGAGGGGCUUACAAGUGAUUAUGCCGGAAUGAGUAACGAUAAAACAGGUGAGAAUCCUGUUCGCCGCAAGCCUAAGGUUUCCUGGGGAAGGUAAUUCCGCUCAGGGUGAGCCGGUACCUUAGUCGAGGCCGCAGGGCGUAGACGAUGGACAUAAGGUUAAUAUUCCUUAGCUUGGCAAUGCUACUGAUGGAGGGACAGCGUUUUUAUGGUGAUCGGCCUGAUAGAAGUGGCCGUAGGUUUCUAAUGCAUGUCAUGUAGUUAAAUGCGCAUGAGUAAUUGUAUGGAGAUCUCGAGAACUAGAUUUUGAAGUCAUCGGCGAAGCGUUCGAGAAAAGCUUCUAAGGGUUACGCAUUGCUAAACCGUACUAAAACUGACACAGGUAGGCGGGUUGAGUAUACUAAGGCGCUCGGGAGAACACUGGUUAAGGAACUCUGCAAAAUGGCCCCGUAAGUUAGCGAUAAGGGGUGCCUCUGAUUUUGAAUAGGGAUUGGAGGUCACAGUAAAUCGGCAACAGCAACUGUUUAUCAAAAACACAGGACCGUGCGAACACGCAAGUGGAAGUAUACGGUCUGACGCCUGCCCGGUGCCGGUNNNNNNNNNNNNNNNNNNNNNNNNNNNNNNNCGGCGGCUCUAACCUUGAGAGUCCUAAGGUAGCGAAGUUCCUUGUCGGGCAAGUUCCGACCUGCAUGAAAGGCGUAAUGACUGUUGCACUGUCUCAACCAGUGACCCGGUGAAAUUGUAGUCGUGGUGAAGAUGCCACGUACCCGCAGUAAGACGGAAAGACCCCGUGAACCUUUACUGUAGGCUGAGAUUGGUCUGAGGUUUGUUUUGUGUAGGAUAGGUGGGAGGCAAUGAACUGGGAGCGUCAGCUUUCAGGGAGCCAGCGUUGAAAUACCACCCUGGACACACUUUAGUUCUAACGGUGAUUCCCUUGAAUCAGGGCACCGGACACUCUCAGUUGGGCAGUUUGACUGGGGCGGUCUCCUCCGAAAGAGUAACGGAGGAGUACAAAGGUACCCUCAGCCUGUUUGGCAAUCAGGCGUCGAGCGUAACGGUAGAAGGGUGCUUGACUGCGAGACAGAUAAGUCGAGCAGAGACGAAAGUCGGUCGUAGUGAUCCGGUGGUUCCGAAUGGCAGGGCCAUCGCUCAUCAGAUAAAAGGUACUCCGGGGAUAACAGGCUUAUCGCUCCCGAGCGUCCACAGCGGCG
RNAcentral lists this ribosomal RNA (2443 nucleotides) under bovine gut metagenome. RNAcentral's name for it is "Bacterial large subunit ribosomal RNA". It matches the Rfam family "Bacterial large subunit ribosomal RNA", at positions 1 to 2510 of the family's 2925-position model. The record is from RNAcentral.